Juglans regia (Persian walnut) is the source of this 625-nucleotide long non-coding RNA. RefSeq lists it as uncharacterized. The record is from RefSeq and is a predicted model, not a curated record. The transcript is spliced from 3 exons. NCBI's taxonomy places the organism in Eukaryota, Viridiplantae, Streptophyta, Magnoliopsida, Fagales, Juglandaceae.
UUGUUUCGCACAAUAUUCCCUUCAGCAAUCCCAAGUACCCCUUACGGCCAGAAACCUUCCACCCACGUGAAACCAAAAUUCUUCUUCUACCUAGCGGAACUACUCCCUCACAGACCACCGUAGCUUUCCUCUCGAUCAGCAAGCCCCACGUUGAAAACAGAAAACCCAUAGCAGUUUCUCCCCAUACCGGGCCACCACCUCGCCGGAAACCACCACAGAAGACGCCGCCCGUAAGUCUUCCCUCCACCCACGCGUGCGUCGACCCAUCUCUCCCUGUCUUUUCUCUCUCCACUGCUAAUAAACAACCCGUGUGUUUUGCCCAGCCACUGUCAACCUCAGAGGACGUCGGAGCACCACCCACACCGCCAGAAACCGCCGGCCAGUCACUUCCCGUCGAACCCACAACUUCCUGCUUGUGCAGCCGCUCACUCUCUGUCAAUCUGAUCCACCGCCGUCGCACCCAGCCUCCUCUCUCGGUGACGAGUUACGGCGUGAGAUUAUGGAAGUAGCGCUAAGAAGUAAGUAGUAUGACCAUACCUUUAUGUGUGCUGUAAAUAUUCAAUUUUUGCAUGAAAAAUGUGAUGUUUACCUACGCUAUGCUACGAGCCAAUUCAAGGUUAGCCUA